GAUGAACGCUGGCGGCGUGCCUAAUACAUGCAAGUCGAGCGAACGGACGAGAAGCUUGCUCCUCUGAUGUUAGCGGCGGACGGGUGAGUAACACGUGGAUAACCUACCUAUAAUACUUGGAUAACUUCGGGAAACCGGAGCUAAUACCGGAUAAUAUUUUGAACCGCAUGGUUCAAAAGUGAAAGACGGUCUUGCUGUCACUUAUAGAUGGAUCCGCGCUGCAUUAGCUAGUUGGUAAGGUAACGGCUUACCAAGGCAACGAUGCAUAGCCGACCUGAGAGGGUGAUCGGCCACACUGGAACUGAGACACGGUCCAGACUCCUACGGGAGGCAGCAGUAGGGAAUCUUCCGCAAUGGGCGAAAGCCUGACGGAGCAACGCCGCGUGAGUGAUGAAGGUCUUCGGAUCGUAAAACUCUGUUAUUAGGGAAGAACAUAUGUGUAAGUAACUGUGCACAUCUUGACGGUACCUAAUCAGAAAGCCACGGCUAACUACGUG
This 497-nucleotide ribosomal RNA is filed under the name uncultured bacterium. RNAcentral describes it as "partial 16S ribosomal RNA". It matches the Rfam family "Bacterial small subunit ribosomal RNA", at positions 28 to 507 of the family's 1533-position model. The record is from RNAcentral.